CCAGACUCCUACGGGAGGCAGCAGUGGGGAAUAUUGCACAAUGGGGGAAACCCUGAUGCAGCAACGCCGCGUGAGUGAAGAAGUAUUUCGGUAUGUAAAGCUCUAUCAGCAGGGAAGAAGAUGACGGUACCUGAUUAAGAAGCCCCGGCUAACUACGUGCCAGCGGCCGCGGUAAUACGUAGGGGGCAAGCGUUAUCCGGAUUUACUGGGUGUAAAGGGAGCGCAGACGGCAGUGCAAGUCUGGAGUGAAAGCCCGGGGCCCAACCCCGGAACUGCUCUGGAAACUGUGCGGCUAGAGUACUGGAGGGGCAGGCGGAAUUCCUGGUGUAGCGGUGAAAUGCGUAGAUAUCAGGAGGAACACCGGUGGCGAAGGCGGCCUGCUGGACUGCAACUGACGUUGAGGCCCGAAAGCGUGGGGAGCAAACAGGAUU
This 431-nucleotide ribosomal RNA is filed under the name uncultured bacterium. RNAcentral describes it as "bacterial SSU rRNA". It matches the Rfam family "Bacterial small subunit ribosomal RNA", at positions 331 to 779 of the family's 1533-position model. The record is from RNAcentral.